Molecule: transfer RNA, 74 nt
Filed under: Microrhizoidea pickettheapsiorum
Lineage: Eukaryota; Viridiplantae; Chlorophyta; Mamiellophyceae; Dolichomastigales
Description: tRNA-Gln
Rfam family: tRNA
About the family: Transfer RNA (tRNA) molecules are approximately 80 nucleotides in length.
Source: RNAcentral
UUGGGGUGUAGUCAAGUGGUAAGACAGUGGACUUUGACUCCAUCAUUCGUAGGUUCGACCCCUACCGCCCCAGU